CACCGGCAGCUCUAGUGGUAGCAGUUUUUAUUGGGCCUAAAGCGUCCGUAGCCGGUUUAAUAAGUCUCUGGUGAAAUCCUGUAGCUUAACUGUGGGAAUUGCUGGAGAUACUAUUAGACUUGAGAUCGGGAGAGGUUAGAGGUACUCCCAGGGUAGAGGUGAAAUUCUGUAAUCCUGGGAGGACCGCCUGUUGCGAAGGCGUCUAACUGGAACGAUUCUGACGGUGAGGGACGAAAGUUAGGGGCGCGAACCGG
RNAcentral lists this ribosomal RNA (254 nucleotides) under uncultured Methanobrevibacter sp. RNAcentral describes it as "partial 16S ribosomal RNA". It matches the Rfam family "Archaeal small subunit ribosomal RNA", at positions 474 to 727 of the family's 1478-position model. Lineage: Archaea; Methanobacteriati; Methanobacteriota; Methanobacteria; Methanobacteriales; Methanobacteriaceae. The record is from RNAcentral.